Long non-coding RNA from Corapipo altera (White-ruffed manakin), 1890 nucleotides. RefSeq lists it as uncharacterized. The record is from RefSeq and is a predicted model, not a curated record. Lineage: Eukaryota; Metazoa; Chordata; Aves; Passeriformes; Pipridae. The transcript is spliced from 5 exons.
CCUACCAUCUCACCAGUGCACCCAGGUCAUCUGAAACUGAAGGGCAGCCAGGGCUGCCUCUCUGCCCCUCUCCCUGCCCCAUGUCAGAAAUGGCAGCUCUCCCUGUGCUCAGGCUGGUGCCAGCAACCAGGCAGAACUCAGUGCCAUUUGAUAUCAAACCCUCUCACACUCGCAGCAUGGCCAGGCAACAGCGGAUAGUGUGCCCCAGUCAGCUGAUAAAGGAGUCCUCCUUCUUGAUCUUCUACAGGCAGGAUGCAAUCCCUGUCAAAGCUUAAGGGGACACCAAGUGUGUAACUCAGAACUUCACCUUCGAAUGUGCAUGGCAACUCUCUCAGGUUUAUUGAGACACUCGAAAGACCCUCAGUGAAGGGAAGGUCAGGACUGUGGGAGAAAUGGACCCAGAUGACAAACUGAAGUCCAAAUUUCCAGCAAGGUAUCAUUCUGAGCUGCUGGCACCACAAGUGUUUCAGAAAAGCAACAGCAGCCCUUCAAGAGCCCUGCAAACCUUCCAGCACCUUGAAAACCUGUCAUGCCUCUUUGGCUUCUCAGAGUUUAAUAAAGCUUGAUUUGUGUUGAAAACUCCAAUUGAAACCAGGUCAAAGAUUUUGACUGGGAUCUCUGCAGGUCUCCUCACACCUGCCAACAUGUGCACAGACCCAUGGAGAGCUGCCAGAAUCAAAAUAGGUCAUGACUAUGCUCGAACAUGUGGUGUAGAGGUUUCUCAUUAUUUCCAUGUGCAACCAUCCAGUCUGAUGCAGCUUUGAAAAUAUAAAAGCAUGAUCAGGAAUUAUAUGGCAGUAUGAAAUUUCAAGACAUCUCCACUAAGUCAUAAUAAUAAGACUGUGCAUCCCAUGAAUUUAAUAAAAGAUGAUCUUAAUAUCAAGUAUUCCCACUCCUCUCAUGAGCUACUCCAUCCGGUGUGUAGGAAUAGAAUACAGCAAUUGAGGGGAAAAAAAACGCUAAAAAUACUAACAAAUACUAAGGUUUGCUUACUCUUGGUCUUCCUAACUUCAACAACAGAAGCAAUUAAAGUGCAUCAAUCAGGACAUUUUUUUCUGUGACUGGGAUAUUCUCUAGUGUUUUUAACAGCUUGCAAAUUCCUAUGACUAUAAUCAGACUGAUCCCACUGUGCUCUCUGUCAGAUACCACAAUGGCUAUAAUCUAGCACCUGCUUGGUACAAAGCUUGGAAGUGAGCCUGGGUGCCCACAGAAUAAAAAUUAAGCAUGUUCGCUACAGAAGGGGAGGAUCAGAGGGAAUUUAGGAACACUAGUGACAGCCUUCUUAUUUCCCUCUCAGCAAGAGAGUCCUGGCUAAGACAGGUCAGAAAACAGUGCUAUUGUUCUGCCUUAAACAUCUCUCUUCCAGAGGCAGAAUUUUGCUUUCAGAAGCAGCCAGUGUGGGGACGCAUUCCCAACAAAAUCAUGUAUCUCCAUCUGUCUCUUCUGGACUGCCCAUCUUGCCCCAUUGUCAGACUGUUAGAAAGCAACAAAUGCUUUCUUACCCUGACCAGUCGGCAAAUCCUUUUCCUCAUGCCUGGCUUAGAUAGAUACAUCACCUAGAAAAGCAGUGGGUUAAGGUAACCUACCCUUUUUCGUCCUUUCAGAUUCACUGGUUUUCCUCAGUGCAGAAUUCAUUGGAUCCCAUUGACCUGGAGGUAACUCAAGCAGAUUUUUCAAUAGACAACCUGCCCCAGAUGCUGAUCAUUCUGCCUAGUAAACUACUGUAGUGGUAAACUACUGUAAUGUCUCUGACAGACAUGUCUCUGCAGCUGUAUGGAAAUUGCUCAUCAGUUUAUUGACGUACAGGGACCUAUAUUACAGUUUUAUCCACAUAAGAAAGCAUUUACUCAUCAUCUGUGUUGGCUUUGAAAUUCCUUAUUGGAAUUGGAA